CCUACGGGGGGCUGCAGUGGGGAAUAUUGGACAAUGGGCGAAAGCCUGAUCCAGCCAUGCCGCGUGUGUGAAGAAGGCCUUCGGGUUGUAAAGCACUUUCAGUGGGGAAGAAAGCCUUGGGGCUAAUACCCUCGAGGAAGGACAUCACCCACAGAAGAAGCACCGGCUAACUCCGUGCCAGCAGCCGCGGUAAUACGGAGGGUGCGAGCGUUAAUCGGAAUUACUGGGCGUAAAGGCGCGUAGGCGGUCUGAUAAGCCGGUUGUGAAAGCCCCGGGCUCAACCUGGGAACGGCAUCCGGAACUGUCAGGCUAGAGUGCAGGAGAGGAAGGUAGAAAUCCCGGUGUAGCGGUGAAAUGCGUAGAGAUCGGGAGGAAUACCAGUGGCGAAGGCGGCCUUCUGGACUGACACUGACGCUGAGGUGCGAAAGCGUGGGUAGCAAACAGGAUUAGAUACCCGAGUAGUC
This 464-nucleotide ribosomal RNA is filed under the name Vreelandella stevensii. RNAcentral's name for it is "partial 16S ribosomal RNA". It matches the Rfam family "Bacterial small subunit ribosomal RNA", at positions 338 to 795 of the family's 1533-position model. The record is from RNAcentral. Lineage: Bacteria; Pseudomonadati; Pseudomonadota; Gammaproteobacteria; Oceanospirillales; Halomonadaceae.